Molecule: ribosomal RNA, 506 nt
Filed under: uncultured bacterium
Lineage: Bacteria
Description: partial 16S ribosomal RNA
Rfam family: Bacterial small subunit ribosomal RNA
Source: RNAcentral
GAUGAACGCUAGCUACAGGCUUAACACAUGCAAGUCGAGGGGUAACGAGAGGAAAGCUUGCCUUCCUUGUUGACGACCGGCGCACGGGUGAGUAACGCGUAUCCAACCUGCCCCCAACUAGGGAAUAACCUUGCGAAAGUAAGACUAAUACCCUAUAAUUUCCUCAGAUGUCAUCUGUCGAGGAAUAAAGAUUUAUCGGUUGUGGAUGGGGAUGCGUCUGAUUAGCUUGUUGGCGGGGUAACGGCCCACCAAGGCAACGAUCAGUAGGGGUUCUGAGAGGAAGGUCCACCACAUUGGAACUGAGACACGGUCCAAACUCCUACGGGAGGCAGCAGUGAGGAAUAUUGGUCAAUGGGCGGAAGCCUGAACCAGCCAAGUAGCGUGCAGGAUGACGGCCCUAUGGGUUGUAAACUGCUUUUAUACAGGAAUAAAGUUAGCCACGUGUGGUUAUUUGUAGGUACUGUAUGAAUAAGGACCGGCUAAUUCCGUGCCAGCCGCCGCCGUAA